AAAUACCCCAGAUUGAAACGGAAAGCAUUUUUUAUGAAUUUAUAUUUUUUGUGGCGAUAAAAAAGCGACUGAAAGAAGCUCUUUUUAUGCCCUGCAAAAAAAUAAAUUCAGGAAAAAUCCUGGAGUGUAAAGCUGGAUUAGGU
This 143-nucleotide small RNA is filed under the name Flavobacterium chilense. Its description in RNAcentral is "Flavo-1 RNA". It matches the Rfam family "Flavo-1 RNA". The record is from RNAcentral. Lineage: Bacteria; Pseudomonadati; Bacteroidota; Flavobacteriia; Flavobacteriales; Flavobacteriaceae.